UAACUGCGUGCAGACGUGUGAACUGCAGGACACAUGAACACCGACGUUUCGAACGCAAAUGGCGGUCUAAAGUAAAUUUUAGACCACGUCUGGCUGAGGGUCGGAUUUGAAAUAAAAACCAAAGUUACUCCAACUAAUGGCAUAUGUAUGUAUAUCUUUAUUGAUAUGAUGUUGCCUGUUGGGUUUCAGUUUCAUCGCUGGGUUUUACAGCCCAGUUAGAAUUGUUGGUAUCCUUAUGGAAGCUCUGUUUAACUACAUUGCUAGCUAAUUUGAAAAAAAAUUAUUACCUUUUAGCGGUGUAAAUGCCGCUAAGUCGUAUAAUAAUUGGCGAAAACAUUUGAUACCACUAUUUAUUUGUAUAUAAAUCAAACAUACGACCUCAGAGUAGGCGAGAUUACCC
This 400-nucleotide unclassified non-coding RNA is filed under the name uncultured fungus. RNAcentral's name for it is "sequence contains ITS1". The stretch from base 1 to 103 matches the Rfam family "5.8S ribosomal RNA", at positions 50 to 154 of the family's 154-position model. Lineage: Eukaryota; Fungi. The record is from RNAcentral.